UUCCGUAGGUGAACCUGCGGAAGGAUCAUUAUCGAGUUUUGACCGGGUUGUAGCUGGCCUUCCGAGGCAUGUGCACGCCCUGCUCAUCCACUCUACACCUGUGCACUUACUGUGGGCUUCAGAUUGCGAGGCACGCUCUUUACCGGGCUUGCGGAGCAUAUCUGUGCCUGCGUUUAUCACAAACUCUAUAAAGUAACAGAAUGUGUAUUGCGAUGUAACACAUCUAUAUACAACUUUCAGCAACGGAUCUCUUGGCUCUCGCAUCGAUGAAGAACGCAGCGAAAUGCGAUAAGUAAUGUGAAUUGCAGAAUUCAGUGAAUCAUCGAAUCUUUGAACGCACCUUGCGCUCCUUGGUAUUCCGAGGAGCAUGCCUGUUUGAGUGUCAUGAAAUCUUCAACCUACAAGCUUUUGUGGUUUGUAGGCUUGGACUUGGAGGCUUGUCGGCCGUUAUCGGUCGGCUCCUCUUAAAUGCAUUAGCUUGGUUCCUUGCGGAUCGGCUCUCGGUGUGAUAAUGUCUACGCCGCGACCGUGAAGCGUUUGGCGAGCUUCUAACCGUCUUAUAAGACAGCUUUAUGACCUCUGACCUCAAAUCAGGUAGGACUAC
RNAcentral lists this ribosomal RNA (604 nucleotides) under Ganoderma sichuanense. RNAcentral's name for it is "eukaryotic LSU rRNA". The stretch from base 232 to 385 matches the Rfam family "5.8S ribosomal RNA". The record is from RNAcentral. Lineage: Eukaryota; Fungi; Basidiomycota; Agaricomycetes; Polyporales; Polyporaceae.